Molecule: unclassified non-coding RNA, 253 nt
Filed under: uncultured Pseudomonadaceae bacterium
Lineage: Bacteria; Pseudomonadati; Pseudomonadota; Gammaproteobacteria; Pseudomonadales; Pseudomonadaceae
Description: contains 16S-23S intergenic spacer region
Rfam family: Bacterial small subunit ribosomal RNA
Source: RNAcentral
UACAGAGGGUGCAAUCGUUAAUCGGAAUUACUGGGCGUCAAGCGCGCGUAGGUGGUUGGUUAAGUUGGAUGUGAAAGCCCCGGGCUCAACCUGGGACCUGCAUCCAAAACUGGCCGACUAGAGUACAGCAGAGGGUGGUGGAAUUUCCUGUGUAGCGGUGAAAUGCGUAGAUAUAGGAAGGACCACCAGUGGCGAAGGCGACCACCUGGACUGAUACUGACACUGAGGUGCGAAAGCGUGGGGAGCAAACAGG